UUGAACGCUGGCGGCAGGCCUAACACAUGCAAGUCGAGCGGAUGAAGGGAGCUUGCUCCUGGAUUCAGCGGCGGACGGGUGAGUAAUGCCUAGGAAUCUGCCUGGUAGUGGGGGAUAACGUCCGGAAACGGGCGCUAAUACCGCAUACGUCCUGAGGGAGAAAGUGGGGGAUCUUCGGACCUCACGCUAUCAGAUGAGCCUAGGUCGGAUUAGCUAGUUGGUGGGGUAAAGGCCUACCAAGGCGACGAUCCGUAACUGGUCUGAGAGGAUGAUCAGUCACACUGGAACUGAGACACGGUCCAGACUCCUACGGGAGGCAGCAGUGGGGAAUAUUGGACAAUGGGCGAAAGCCUGAUCCAGCCAUGCCGCGUGUGUGAAGAAGGUCUUCGGAUUGUAAAGCACUUUAAGUUGGGAGGAAGGGCAGUAAGUUAAUACCUUGCUGUUUUGACGUUACCAACAGAAUAGCACCGGCUAACUUCGUG
This 482-nucleotide ribosomal RNA is filed under the name uncultured bacterium. RNAcentral's name for it is "partial 16S ribosomal RNA". It matches the Rfam family "Bacterial small subunit ribosomal RNA", at positions 30 to 507 of the family's 1533-position model. The record is from RNAcentral.